Molecule: RNA transcript, 2008 nt
Organism: Mesocricetus auratus (golden hamster)
Lineage: Eukaryota; Metazoa; Chordata; Mammalia; Rodentia; Cricetidae
Gene name: leucine-rich repeat-containing protein 37A3-like
Exons: 2
Source: RefSeq, a predicted model, not a curated record
UACAUGUGGCAAAACACCAGCACACAUAAAAAAUAAAUCCUUUAAAAAAUUAAAAAGAAAGAAAGAAAAAUAUGGUCUUUUUGAGCUUCAUGAAUGAGCUUCUUGAUUCUACCAACAAAAGUGGUGUUAUUAGUGUCCUAAAUUACAUACUGCCAUAUUUCUCAGAGGGGAAUCUGGAAGGUUUCAUUUUAAUGUUGUCACCAUUCAUUAUACUACUUUUUUUUCUAAUGUACAAGACUGUAAGUAAUACCCUGGGAUCUUUGCAAAAUGAUACAGUCUUCCUCUAAUCUACAUCUAAUAAGAGAAUUUGUUAGAUGCAGAAAUUGAUGAGGUUAACAAGAAAGAAAAAACUACCAUGGUUAUGCAGCAGUCUAGCUGUUUAGGUCCCAAAUUUAAAUGACAGAUAUUGAAAAGAGAUGGGAACCUGCCCGUGCAGAGGAAGACAGUCUUGCAGAGAUUGAGAAGGCAGAGAAAGGACUCCUCCACAGGAUGGACACAGUGCUCAAGGGGACAGGAAGCAUACAGAAAAGGCACUUCAAGGAAGUGAGUGACAAGAGCCUGUGGAGUAAGCAGAGUGUCCGGACACCUGUGGAGAACAUCGCCAAAGAUGGGCAGCUCAGGGGCCCACCCACCACAGAGCUGCAGCAGUUCAGUCUGGUGCAGAAGCCCAGGAAGUUAGUGGGAAAUUCCUUCCACUCAGAGCCAGUGCUUCCAACAGAACCCGGGGAGGCAGUGUCUUCUUCCCCAGAACCGUCCCUGGUGGACAAAGCUCCCACUACAAAUUCGCUACCUGAGUUCAUAGAUAGAUGAAAAGACUUGUCUUACACCAUUUUUGUUUUAGAAAGGGCAAAUGCCAAUGUGAAAAGAGUGAUGGGGUCUAACCCUAGUUUACAGUCUGAAAAGAGACAUGGAAACCUUGGGAAGAAAAUCUCAUUUCCAGUUGAUUGCAAAGAGGCCAGCAUCCUCUGCAGUGAAGAGCCUGGUAAAUCCCCCCUGCACGAGGAGUCUCUUCAUCUACAGGAGACAUGACUUAUGCAGAAAAGCCUUUUUCAGAAUCAUAUGCUGCUUCAGAACCUCAUACUGAAAAACCUCUUGAAGAAAACCAGGAUGCAACAGAUAAUAGUGAAGAAAACAUCCUCAAACCAACCAUCAGAGAAUAUAUCCUCUGAGAAUCUUGCUGUAGAGUCUAAUGUGCCUCCAUCCGAUUUAAUUCCAUCUGAUCAGCAAACCAGAGAGCCACAGUUAGACUUGGGGUCUGGCUCACAUGACAAUUUCAAGGAAUUUGCUUACCCAUUGCUGAUGGCACCGGGUGAACACUUUGAAUCUCAGCUAAACCAGCAGCUGCGGCCCCUUAUCCCCAACAACAACGUGAGAAGGCUUAUUUCUCGCGUUAUAAGAACUUUGAAGAUGGACUGCUCUGACACCCGAGUGCAACUGUCCUGUGCUAAGCUCAUCUCCAGAACAGGCCUCCUGAUGAAGCUUCUCAGUGAGCAACAAGAAUUCAAGUUGUCCAGGACAGACUGGGAUACAGACCAGUGGAAAACUGAGAACUACAUCAAUGAGAGCACAGAAGCCCAAGGUGAACAGAAGGGUCUGGAACCAAGUCAGGUAGGAGUUUUGUGACUCAGGUGACCGCUGUGGCUUGGAGAUUUGUACAGACCCCUGCAUGGAAACACAGGAAAAAUGUGGCUCAGAAUCUAUGAGGCAAGGGGUCCUCGGGGGGAGGAGGAGAUUUUCCAUAAGGAUGAACCAGGGACAAUGGCUGGGGUGAUUAAACAUUCCUAGCUCAAAUGAGGAGCUCAGGACAAGUGUGUCUGGUCCACUCAAGGUUAAAAGCUUUGGCAUAACACAGGAAGACCUGGCAGAGACUCCCCAGAGUGGCAGCCCCUCAGUGUGAAGAGGAGAGGGGGAGCUCCCGAGGAAGGGGCUGACUUGACAGAGUCACCCUAUCCUGUAAGUUUUUAUUCCUCUGUCACAUGAAAAAUACUAAUGAAUUAUUUUUAAUAGA